This is a non-coding RNA of Phascolarctos cinereus (koala), 449 nucleotides long. The record is from RefSeq and is a predicted model, not a curated record. Lineage: Eukaryota; Metazoa; Chordata; Mammalia; Diprotodontia; Phascolarctidae.
GCGAAGAGAUGGGAUAGAUCCCAACCGAGGGAUACCGGGCUGGCAGCUCAAGGACAGUCCAGAGCCCUGAACUUGCGUGGACUGUCCUGGAAAAUCCAGGAAGGAUGAUAUUAUGACACUGUCUUUAAGGUCCCUUCCAGCUAUAGUAGUCCAUGAUUCUAAUUCAUCCAGCACAUCAAAAGAGAGACUGAUCACCUGCCCUGAUGAGGACAGCAGCACUGACCCUACACCUCACCCCACCCCUCCUUAGGAAUUCAUAGAUGGACAAGAUCGUACUUCAGAGCAAAUUAUUCUUUGCAACAAAAAAGAAGAAAAGAGAAGAAAAAAAGUUCACCAAAACUAACAGACACAUCAGCCAGGUCUGACAACAUAUGCAAUGUUCCUCAACCAUUGUCCUUCACCUCUACAAAGAAAGGAGAGAAUUACAUUUUCUUAUCUCUUUUGGAGAG